AACGAACGCUGGCGGCGCGCCUAAUACAUGCAAGUCGAGCGAGAAGACGUAGCAAUACGUUUGUAAAGCGGCGAACGGGUGAGGAAUACAUGGGUAACCUACCCUCGAGUGGGGAAUAACUAGCCGAAAGGUUAGCUAAUACCGCGUACGCUCCUUGGACUUCGGUUCAGGGAGGAAAGCGAUACCGUGGGUGUCGCGCUCUUGGAUGGGCUCAUGUCCUAUCAGCUUGUUGGUGAGGAACGGCUCACCAAGGCUUCGACGGGUAGCUGGUCUGAGAGGACGAUCAGCCACACUGGCACUGCGACACGGGCCAGACUCCUACGGGAGGCAGCAGUAAGGAAUAUUGCGCAAUGGGCGAAAGCCUGACGCAGCGACGCCGCGUGGGGGAUGAAGGUCUUCGGAUUU
RNAcentral lists this ribosomal RNA (405 nucleotides) under uncultured bacterium. Its description in RNAcentral is "bacterial SSU rRNA". It matches the Rfam family "Bacterial small subunit ribosomal RNA", at positions 29 to 425 of the family's 1533-position model. The record is from RNAcentral.